GCUUUUCUUCCCAAGCUCCUUAGACUACGAUGACCUGGAUGACUGAGAACCUUAACAGACAUUGGCCAACAAUCAGGGUUACAGAAAGUGUGAUGACAAAGGUGCCUAAGAAGUACAGCAAGCAGUCCAUACCUGGGGUCUUGAAAACUGCCAGGCAAAGACCCACAGCCUUGGCCAACUGCUUGAAGAGGUAUACCAGAGAAAUAGAAGGCAGGAGAAUAAACCAGCUGUUCAACCAUCCAAGGUGUACUCUCAAUGGCACAGGAAAAAUAUGAGAACAGCACCACCAAGGCUGGAGACAGGGUAAUACUGGAAAAGCAUAAGAGAGAAGGAUGCAACCUACAACGGCAAUGCUCAGUGGCUAGCAGAUCUAAGAGGAGACCACAGUAAACUCCCUGAACAGGGUCCAGUAAGCAUUACACUGGCAGACAUCUAAGGAAGAAUCUCCAAUAUGAAGAGCUGGACAGCCCCAGGCCAUGACAUGAUUCAUGCCUACUGGCUGAAGAAGCUGAUUGCACUCCAUGAGCAUCUGGCAGCACACAUGAACAGGCUCCUAAUGGAUGAAACACACAAAGAAUGGCCGCACAGUUCUGAUUCCCAAGGAUCCCCAGAAGGGCCCAUACCAUCCAACUACCAGCCAAUAACUUGCCUCAGCACUACAUGGAAGCUCCUGUCAGGCAUCAUAGAGGCUCAGAUGAAUAGGCACAUGGCUCAAUACAUGAGUGGGGCGCAGAAAGGAAUAGGCAGCAAUACCAGAAGUGUAAAACACCAGUUCCUGGUAGACAGAGCAGUCACCUGAGCACUGUCUGGACUGAUUACAAGAAGGCCUAUGACUUGAUGCCCCACGCAUGGAUCCUGGAAUGCCUAGAACUAUACAAGAUCAACAGAACCCUAAGGGUCUUCAUCAGGAACUCAGUGGGUAUGUUGUAAACAGCACUAGAAGCCAACUUCAAGCCAAUAGCACAAGUCACCGUCAAGUGCGGAUCUACUAAAGAGUUGCCCAUUCCCCACUGCUGUUCUGCAUAGGCCUGAACCCCCUCAGUGAGAACACUGACAAGACUGGCCACGGAUACCGACUACAGAAUGGAGCAGUUGUCAGCCACCUCCUGUGCAUGGAUGACAUCAAGGUGUAUGCCAACAGUGAACAAGACAUAGAUUCACUGAUUCACAGCACGAGGAUAUACAACAACGACAUCAGAAUGUCAGUCGGACGGUAGUCAGAACUGAAGGGAUCGUGCUACCGGAAGACAACAUUGCAGACAUUGGGGACAGCUACAAGUAUCUGGGAAUCCCACAAGCAAAUGGGAUCCAGGAAGAGGCCACUAGGAAAGCUGCAACCACCAAGUACCUGCAGUACAGAGGGUUAGGCAAGUCCUAAAGAGUCAAGAUCUGGGCUAUGAACACCUAUGCCUUGUAGGUGUUGAUAGAAGCCACCGACAUCAAGACAAGGAAGCUCCUGACCAUGUAUGAAAGGUUUUACCCCAAAUCCAGCAUCCUGAGACUGUAUGCUAAGCGGAAGGAAGGAGGCCGGAGACUAAUUAAACUUAUGGACAAAAUUUAGAUCCAGGAGAAGCAAUGUUCCACAUCCUGAUUGUGGAACACUGGACCAGCUGUUUAUCCACUUGUGGUUGCAUGCAGGUGUAUUGGAUGUCUUGAUGCAAUGUCAAUCAUCCAGUUUUCUGAGACGUCUGUUACCCACCAGCUCCAUAGCAGAUCGGGAGGUCGAGGAUCACUAGAGCCGGCGAGAACAGCGGACUCCCAGCACAUCGUUUUCAACCCCACCGCGGUCUUUGGCUACUCAGGUUAAACAUGAUAUAUAAGUGUCUUAGAUAACUUAAAAAUGUUUUUUAUUAUUGUUCGGCUCUUUUCAGUGUUUUAUUUGUUCUUGUGUAAAUCGGUUUGGCUGAGAUAUAUUUCAAUUCAGGAGGAAACAUUUUCACCAGGAACAAAAACAGCAUGCUAAUAUGUGGACAUUCUGAAGGCUGCUUCAAAAUAAUCAGAUUAUAUUUUAAAUAUUUGUUCAGUUCUCUUCCAAACCCCAGCAGCUGUCUAUUGUAAUUUUUG
This is a long non-coding RNA of Oreochromis aureus, 2064 nucleotides long. RefSeq lists it as uncharacterized. The record is from RefSeq and is a predicted model, not a curated record. The transcript is spliced from 3 exons. NCBI's taxonomy places the organism in Eukaryota, Metazoa, Chordata, Actinopteri, Cichliformes, Cichlidae.